AUGCUCCCUUUGGCUUCACAUAUACCAAAAUUAGAAUGACAUAAAGAAGAUUAGCAUGGCCCCUGUGCAAAUGAUGUACGAAUUUAUGAAGUGUUCCAUAUUUUU
Molecule: small nuclear RNA, 105 nt
Filed under: Neotoma lepida (desert woodrat)
Lineage: Eukaryota; Metazoa; Chordata; Mammalia; Rodentia; Cricetidae
Source: RNAcentral